Molecule: long non-coding RNA, 933 nt
Filed under: Pan troglodytes (chimpanzee)
Lineage: Eukaryota; Metazoa; Chordata; Mammalia; Primates; Hominidae
Description: lincRNA
Source: RNAcentral
AAUGCCCACCAUUAUGUCCGCAUUCCAGCCUCAAGAAAGAGGAAAGAAGAAAGGGAGAGCAUGCAACUUUCUUUUAAGGAUGUGACCUAGAAGUGACAUACAUCACUUAGGCUCACAUGCCAUUGGUGGGAACUUAGUCAUAUGGCCACACCUAGUUGCAAGUGAGGCUGGGAUAUGUCAUUUCUAGAUGGACAAUCAUGUACCUCCCAAAAACUUGGGGAUUACUAUUACCAAAAGGAAGAAAGAAAAUAUGAAUGGGUGGGAUUGGCAGUCUCUCAUCAGUAGGAAAGCAUCAUGACUGAUGCUGAGAAUACUCUUUGCCCAAGUCUUUAUGGCCUAUAUAUGUAACUCCAUAUUACUGACAGUGUGCAUCACAGGGUGUGGUAGGUGGCUUCUAAAAUGGCCUCAAAUGAUUCCUGUCUCCUGGUACUCAUGCCCUUGUGUGAUCCCUUUUUCUUGAAUGACUUCCUUCAAGUUAAUAGACUGUUGAUAGGCUGCCACUUCUAUGAUUAGAUUAUUAAAGAUGUACCUCCAUUUUCCUGGCAGACUUUAUUGCCUUUGCAGCUUGCAAGCUUUGAUGAAGCAGCCAUGUUGGGGAGGCCCAUAUGGCAAGAAACCAAAGUCAGUCUCCAGGCAAUAGCCAACAAAGAACUGAGGUCCUCAGUCCAAUAGCCCACAAAGAACUGAAUCCUACCAAUAACCACUUGAGUUUGGAAAUGGAUCCCUUACCAAUCGAGCCUUCAGAUUAGACCCCAGCCUUGGUUGACACCUUCACUGUAGCCUUUUAUGUAAGAUCCUGAAGCAGAUGAUGCAACUAAACUGUGCCUGGACUUCUGAUGCACAGAACCCAUGAGAUAAUAAAUACUGCCAGCUCCAUGACAGCAAGAACCUUGUAUGACUUUUUCAUGAUGGAUGUUCAUCUGUGCCAUCUGU